Molecule: long non-coding RNA, 1646 nt
Organism: Planococcus citri (citrus mealybug)
Lineage: Eukaryota; Metazoa; Arthropoda; Insecta; Hemiptera; Pseudococcidae
Exons: 2
Source: RefSeq, a predicted model, not a curated record
UUUCUUUUUAUAAUAAUCUUGUCGGUUUUUCUUUUUAGGUAUUAUAAUUUUGUCAUUAGCAUAAUUUUUCUAUACGAUUUCGCGAAUAUUGUAAUCGUAGUUUUGCGAAUACUCAUCAAAUCAUCAAUUGUGAUCGAAAAAGAAAAGGAGACACGUGAUUGUGGCAGCUAAAUUAAUCUUCGAGUUAGAAUCAAUCCAACAUGUCCGAUAAAAGCUCGCACGUUCCUGUAACUGAUACCGUUUGCUUGACCAAAUUGAAUUAUAGAAAAUGUACGUAUUUAUGGAUCAUUGAAAACUACUCAUUUCAUGAUAAAAGGAAACUUGUAUUGAAAUCGUUGCCAUUUUCGGCGCAUGACGACAAAUUCAAAUGGCGUGUACAUCUUAAUCCCGUUUACGAAUCCAACUCUUACGUUUCCUUACAAGUGCAUCCGUCAGAAGAAUGUUCUAAUUUCGCUGAACACAGCCCGAUUAUGGGAACUUUGAAAUUCGCUAUAAUAGACGCUGAAAACAUUCCCGAUUCCAAUACUCCUGACUCUAUUGAAUUAGCGACCUAGAUUGCCAGCUAUACGAUUUUUACCGGCUUUUUUGAAAUUGGAAAGUUAUUUUGAUUCGUAAUUUGCUUACAUUCAAUUUCCGACUCCGAUUUCGAUUCCACUCUUGGCUCUGAUUCCGAUUCCAAUCAUAAUUUCUGCAAUAUCUUUAUCACGGUUUCUCAAUAAGAUGUUUAUGGCUACAUAAUACGAUUCUCGUCGUGUAGUUAAGGCAUUCCUGCUCAUCACAAAAUUGAUGGUGACUUUUCAUGCUGAAAUUUCCGUUAACAAUGCUGCAGCCUCUCCAAAUGAACCGAUUUGGGUGAUAUUUUGCACAGUAAUAUCCGUUUGCAAAAAUCUACCAAUUAAUAUUACAACGUCGAUUGGCGUUGUUUAAUAGUAUUUUUUUGGGUAGUAACAGUAACCGGCAAAUAUAUUUUCAACGGAUAAUUACCGCGCAUCCAAAAAUGAACUUUGGCACCUAAAAUUUGGGUAAUAUUUGAAAACGAAGCUAUUGAUAAACAACUAGAUUUUGUAAAAUUUCAAAUGCUCUUAUCCCUAGCCCUAGUAGAAAAAAUCACAGACACCUCCGAUUUGUGUCUCUCAUCAUUUGAUGACUUUUAAAUACGCAAAGACAACAUGCAAAAUAUUAAAAAUAUCGAGGAUUCGUCGUUUAAUUUUUUAUUUUAUAUUUAACAUGGAAUUUCCAAGUAUGAACUUACAAGUGUAAACAACCCACAGUCUGCAUAUAGUACAUGCAUUUCUUCAAGGAGCAUACGGUGGUGGUUUUUCAUUCAUGCCAACAGAUUGAGGCAUGUAGUAAGGUGCAGAUGGCAUUGCAGUUUGAGCAUACUCAUUAGGCGGAUACAUUAAACAUGGCUCACCAUGAGUGACAACAGGAGCAUAAGGAGGUUGCGUAGCAUACGGAGAAUUUACGUAAGAAACCGACUGCAAAUUUUGAUCAUUCGGACAUGGAGCAGAUGCAGAAGGAGAUGAUGCAGUUUGUGUCGAUGUCGUGAUUAUAACGCCUGAUAUUCCAUGUUCGCGUCCAUCCUCUCCUUUUGAUACUUGGCUGUAGAAACUGAAGAUAAUCGCGCAAGCGUAAUAAUGGUAAAC